UACGGGAGGCAGCAGUGGGGGAAUAUUGCACAAUGGGCGCAAGCCUGAUGCAGCCAUGCCGCGUGUAUGAAGAAGGCCUUCGGGUUGUAAAGUACUUUCAGUCGUGAGGAAGGUGUUAAGGUUAAUAACCUUAGCAAUUGACGUUAGCGACAGAAGAAGCACCGGCUAACUCCGUGCCAGCAGCCGCGGUAAUACGGAGGGUGCGAGCGUUAAUCGGAAUUACUGGGCGUAAAGGGCACGCAGGCGGUUAAUUAAGUUGGAUGUGAAAUCCCCGGGCUUAACCUGGGAAUGGCAUUCAAGACUGGUUAGCUAGAGUCUUGUAGAGGGGGUUAGAAUUCCAUGUGUAGCGGUGAAAUGCGUAGAGAUGUGGAGGAAUACCGGUGGCGAAGGCGGCCCCUGGACAAAGGACUGACGCUCAUGUGCGAAAGCGUGGGGAGCAAAC
Molecule: ribosomal RNA, 442 nt
Filed under: uncultured bacterium
Lineage: Bacteria
Description: bacterial SSU rRNA
Rfam family: Bacterial small subunit ribosomal RNA
Source: RNAcentral